UACGGGGGGGGCAAGCGUUGUUCGGAAUUACUGGGCGUAAAGGGCUCGUAGGUGGCCAACUAAGUCAGACGUGAAAUCCCUCGGCUUAACCGGGGAACUGCGUCUGAUACUGGAUGGCUUGAGUUCGGGAGAGGGAUGCGGAAUUCCAGGUGUAGCGGUGAAAUGCGUAGAUAUCAAGCGGAACACCAGUGGCGAAGGCGAGUCCCUGGACAACUCCUGACACUGAUGCACGAAAGCUAGGGGAGCAAACAGG
This 253-nucleotide ribosomal RNA is filed under the name uncultured bacterium. RNAcentral's name for it is "partial 16S ribosomal RNA". It matches the Rfam family "Bacterial small subunit ribosomal RNA", at positions 524 to 776 of the family's 1533-position model. The record is from RNAcentral.